CCUACGGGGGGCAGCAGUGAGGAAUUUUCUGCAAUGGGCGAAAGCCUGACAGAGCAAUACCGCGUGAGGGACGAAUGCCUACGGGUUGUAAACCUCUUUUGUCAAGGAAGCGGUACUUACGAAUAAGCAUCGGCUAACUCCGUGCCAGCAGCCGCGGUAAUACGGAGGAUGCAAGUGUUAUCCGGAAUCAUUGGGCGUAAAGCGUCUGUAGGUGGUUUGCUAAGUCCGCUGUUAAAGCUUGAAGCUCAACUUCGAAAAUGCAGCGGAAACUAGUGGACUUGAGUGUGGUAGGGGUAGAGGGAAUUUCCAGUGAAGUGGUGAAAUGCGUAGAUAUUGGAAAGACCACCAAUGGCGAAGGCACUCUACUGGCCUCACUGACACUGAGAGACGAAAGCUAGGGGAGCAAAUGGGAUUAGAUACCCUUGUAGUC
Molecule: ribosomal RNA, 430 nt
Filed under: uncultured bacterium
Lineage: Bacteria
Description: partial 16S ribosomal RNA
Rfam family: Bacterial small subunit ribosomal RNA
Source: RNAcentral